UGGGGAAUAUUGGACAAUGGGCGAAAGCCUGAUCCAGCCAUGCCGCGUGUGUGAAGAAGGUCUUCGGAUUGUAAAGCACUUUAAGUUGGGAGGAAGGGCAGUAAGCGAAUACCUUGCUGUUUUGACGUUACCGACAGAAUAAGCACCGGCUAACUCUGUGCCAGCAGCCGCGGUAAUACAGAGGGUGCAAGCGUUAAUCGGAAUUACUGGCCGUAAAGCGCGCGUAGGUUGUUCGUUAAGUUGAAUGUGAAAGCCACGGGCUUAACCGGGGAACUGCAUCCAAAAAUGGCUGGCUAGAGUAGGGCGGGGAGUGGUGGAAUUUUCUGUGGAGCGGUGAAAUGCGUGGAUAUAGGAAGGAAAAACAGUGGCGAAGGCGACGACCGGGGCUAAUAAUGACACUGAGGUGCGAAAGAGUGGGGAGCAAACAGG
RNAcentral lists this ribosomal RNA (429 nucleotides) under Pseudomonadota bacterium. RNAcentral describes it as "Proteobacteria bacterium partial 16S ribosomal RNA". It matches the Rfam family "Bacterial small subunit ribosomal RNA", at positions 355 to 776 of the family's 1533-position model. The record is from RNAcentral. Lineage: Bacteria; Pseudomonadati; Pseudomonadota.